UACGUAGGUGGCGAGCGUUGUCCGGAAUUACUGGGCGUAAAGGGUGCGUAGGCGGAUAAUUAAGUCAGAUGUGAAAUCCCUGGGCUCAACCCGGGAAUAGCAUUUGAAACUGGAUAUCUGGAGUGCAGGAGAGGAAAGCGGAAUUCCUAGUGUAGCGGUGAAAUGCGUAGAUAUUAGGAAGAACACCAGUGGCGAAGGCGGCUUUCUGGACUGUAACUGACGCUGAGGCACGAAAGCGUGGGGAGCAAACAGGAUUAGAUACCCUGGUAGUCCACGCUGUAAACGAUGAGUGCUAGGUGUAGGAGGUAUCGACACCUUCUGUGCCGCAGUAAACGCAAUAAGCACUCCGCCUGGGGAGUACGGUCGCAAGACUAAA
Molecule: ribosomal RNA, 376 nt
Filed under: uncultured bacterium
Lineage: Bacteria
Description: bacterial SSU rRNA
Rfam family: Bacterial small subunit ribosomal RNA
Source: RNAcentral